RNAcentral lists this non-coding RNA (77 nucleotides) under Ctenophora environmental sample. The record is from RNAcentral. Lineage: Eukaryota; Metazoa; Ctenophora.
AAGCUGAAAUGCAACGGCUAGUUUGAAUUCAUUGAUUUUUAUUAAAAUUAUUAGUUCAAAAAAAAAAAAAAAAAAAA